GCCCUAGACCCUGGAUGUGACUGAGCACAGAGGGCAGCGCUGUCCUUUCCCAGAAAAUGACCCUUGCUCCAACUUGAUCUGCUGUAAAAGGAGGUCUGAGCCAGCCUCUCGCAGAAAGAAAUUGCUAAUUGGGAAGCAGUGCCACCUGGUGGAGGAAGAGGCCCAUGCACGCAAGCAGAUGUCAUUUCCCACUGACCUAAUUUAUGGAAAAUUGAAUGGAAGACAGAAGACAUUUGAGAUUGUAAGCCUGUGCCCAAAAUCUUAAGGAAGGCAGGCAGCUGGCCAUAAAAGUAAUCUGAGCAGUCUCCUCUUUCAGCCUUUGCAAUCUAAGUUUGUGAUAAACAUCUUAAACGUGUGGAUGGUACGUGACGGUUUCCUUUGCACUUUCCUCUGUGCUCGUCGGUCAGCACAACUGUGAUGGGCAUGGGAUCAUCUUCCCUAUUUUAUGGAUGAGGAACUUGGGGUUUAGAGGGGUUAAGUGCCACAGACACACCGGUGAUGAAGGCCAGGCCCCAGCUUAUGUUUAAUGCCCACCUCUCGAACACCUUGCCUGCCGCACAGGUAGCUUUGCUGCUGACCCCAGGGCAGUGGCCUUUUUAAUCCAUAUAAAAUGAUAGGGGCACAUGGAUAUUACAACCAUGGGGCCUCUGGAUUCCUGAGAGAGGAGUGGGGUGGGCCUAGUGGGUCGGUAUGUCUCUUUUCUGCGUCUCUGUUGAAGGAGUUCAAGGCAUGGGAUGAGGGAGUUUCCAGAGAUGGGAAACCUCAGGACUGUUACAGCUAGGCCUUAAGCACUUGUCUGUCUCAGGUAAGCUCAAGGAGCAGCACAUCCAUGGUUUAAACGUGCACAGACCUCUGUGGGAACACUGAGUUUUGCUUUGCAAGCAUCAUUAUCCCCAGGUGUCUUGAUAAAUCAAGCAUAAAGUGAAUAUUCCAUUAGUUUUGAAACUUCAGAACUUAGGAAAAAAUCAGUACGAGGGCAAGCAGAAAGGACACAUAACUGCUGAUACUUUUAAAGCUCCGACAUUUGCAUAUAGAUUGUCCCAAGCACUCCCUCUACCAGCCAGCACCACUCAGAAACACUCCCCACACCAAGAAGGAUGGAGGCAAAGUCACCUUGAAGCAGGAACGGUGAUAGUCACACCCACCCCAAAGGCUCUUCUGAAUGCUAAGAAUGCCACCAGGUUACCCAGCAGUUACUCAGUGCUCAUCCUUGCUAGCAUGUCAGGGUUGGGUCAUCUUUGUAACGUGUAACUCAGUUGUGCAGUGGAUGCCUUCAGUGUGAGUUGUGCAUUGGAGCUAGUGUGAGAGGGGGCACCCAUCAUGGCUUUGUUCCCAGCACCCACCCACAGUACACAUGCCCUUUCUCAGGCUUAUUUACAGAAGAGGGUAACAUCACUUUGUGGACUAGCAACAAGGAUUAAAUCUGGCAAAAUAAUAAAGCACUCAGUGUGUGACACACAGUGGGUGCUCAGUAAAUUUGUAUUGGUAGCUAACACCUUAAUGCCCAUUGAAGGCACUAUUAGCUCAUUUCAACCUCACAACAACUCUGUGAGGUAGGUACUCUGCCCCAUUUUACAGCUGGGGAAGCUGAGGCACAAAGGCUAAGUAAGUGUCCAAGGGCACAGAGCAAUUAAGUGACAGGGCCGGGAUUGGAACCCACUGCUUUUACCCACUGGGCAGCUCCCCUUCUCUGGGGUGCCCACGUCACAGGACUUUUGUAGGCGCUCACUCUGGUGGCAUGGAGUGCCCUGUGUCGGGAUCAGGCAGGCGGGUCUCUGAGGCAGGCUCUGCCUUGUCAUCUUGAACAAUUGGCCCUCCUGGACCUUCGAAGUUUUCUCCAAAAGCUGGGGGGAUGGUCGGUAAAGAGUAGUAGAAACUGAACCAAAUGAUCUCAAAAUUCUAUGACUUGAAGCUUUUCACUUUAAAUGAUUUAUCAAGAUUUUAUAAUUCUUUACACUUAUUUUUGGUUUAACUGAUUUGAAGUCUUUAUUGGAUGUGGUCAGGAACACAAACCCCAGCUGUCACCGUGUGCCUGUGGGAGGGAACACGCCUUCCCGGUCCUGGGGGAGAGCCGGAGCCAAGAGGACAGACCUCACUCAGGUGACCAGUCGCUAGGUGGCAGCACCAGCAGUUCUGGCUGUACGUAGUCUCGCUGAAGAGCAGAUUCUGGCCCUCCUUACGCACUGUCCUAGACUUUCCAGGCUCUUCUCCACUUACAUUGAUAAAGUUUUCUCCUGCAGGGACGUUUCAGUCAAAAAAUAAAGCUCACAUGCCAAGCCUUGUGCUGAAGGACUCAGGUUAGGCGUAGCUCGCAGACUGGUGACACGGGGAUGGGCAAACUGCGGCCCAUGGCUAAGACCAGUUUUUACAUCUUUAAAUGGUUGAAAAAGAAACAAAAGGGGAAUAAUUUUUCAUGGCCCAUGAAAAUUACAUGAAAUUCAAAUUUCAGUGUCUACAAAUAAACUUUAUUGGAAUACAGCUACUCUCAUUCAUUUAUGUAUCGUGGCUGCUUUCGCCCUACAACAGCAAAGGUGAGCAGGUAACGGCAGAGACCGUGUGGCCCUCAAAGCCUGACAUAGUUACUCUCUGUGCCUGUACGGAAAAAGCUAGCUGACCCCGCCAUAGAUGCACCUCAUCU
Molecule: long non-coding RNA, 2638 nt
Filed under: Equus asinus (donkey)
Lineage: Eukaryota; Metazoa; Chordata; Mammalia; Perissodactyla; Equidae
Description: lncRNA (ENSEASG00005029023.1)
Source: RNAcentral